UUUGUUCAGAGUUUUCUGUGUACCUGUGUCUGCAGGGAUCAGGAUGUGGCUUUCCUCUGGGUAUGGAAUAGAUGCAUAUUCUGAUUGCCUCUUCUGGAAAGACUUAUCAGAAACUCAAAAGAACACAACCAUCUGUCUCUCACCUACAUGUGACCUGGAAGACCCCAGUUGGCGGCAGUGGGUUGAGCAUUUUAUUGCCCUGGAAAAGAUUGUGGUUUUGUUGCAAGGAAGAAGAGAAGAAUGACAUUUUUGUGGUAAAUGAAUACCUAGCUUCUUGUUUACGGUAGCAGCUUCUUGCCUUCAGAAGUGAAGAAUUGAGAGGAACAUGAAUGCAUUCAUCGGAUCACCAGCUUCCCAAUGACAUUGCUAAAAUUCCUUUGAUUUAGUAAUAUUUGCUGAAUAUGUUUUUCUUAUAUUUCAUAAACCUUCUUUGUAAUCAUUUAGUCAAUUAAAUGUGAAUAUAUGCUUUCGAGUAUCAUGUUGCUCUAUUUGCUUUCAGUAUAUUUGAGUGCGAAUUAUUGCAUUUACUUAUGCUGAUAAUUCUUCUCUAACUUGCAAUUGUGCUUUCCAAUUGUUAAUUUUUUGUUCAACUUUAUCCUAUAUGCUUUUGGGUACAAAAACACCUGUAUGCAAGAAUUUUGAAGAUGUUUUUGUUAGGGAUUAAGGGCUACACACUAAUUGGGCUAUAUUUUAUUUUAAAUGUUAAGUUGUAUUUUCUCGUAGCAAAGAUAAAAUAUUAUUUCAGAAAUCAACCUUAUACUUCGCACCGGUUUGAGAUUUCAAUUUUCUGUAGUUUUUUCUGUCUACCUUGACAGUUGGAAAAUAGCAAGCCUUGGGCUGCAGUCCUGGCCAUUGUCCUUUUAUCUCCCAACCCCCUUAUUUACUCUGGAAAAUACGUCAGUGCUCCAGUGUUGCACACAGUGUAUGUUAGUUGUAGCUCUCUAACACCCAUUACAUAAGUUCUAAAAAUCUUAGGUCAAGGAGGCUUUAAAAUCCUAAUGUUUACCUCCAAUCAGUUAUAUCUGUAUCUAAUACUCCUGUGGUCCAGAAAGACUUAGAUUUUUUUUUUUUUUUUUUUUUUUUUUUUUUUUUUUUACUAAUGUGGCACAGCGUUCUUUUAUAUUUUUUGCCACAGAGGUUUCCAUUUCUUUGUUUUGUGCUUGACAUAUAUGUUGAAGUUUCAGGAUAUUUUCUAUAACUGUGUGUAUUUGUAGUAGAAAAGGGACACUUCUACAUCAGCCUCGUUUGCCAUUAUUUCCUAAAGUCCUUAUAAUGCCUUCCGUAAUACGUGUGGGUACACAGUAUUAUAGUAGAACAGGAUGGAAUGAAUCUACCUCAUUAUGCCUGAGAUGGUAAUGAAAAAUCUUAUAAGUGAUAUGAUAAAUAAUAAGUAGAUGUUUAAUGUAGUUAAAGCAUACCAGACAAUGGGGAUAGGAAGUGAAAUAAUUUAAUGACAGAAAGAAAGCCAUUUAGCAUAACGCAGAUAGUUAACAAUUUCUAAAGUUAUGGAUGAAUAUGCAGGAGUUUUAUUAAUAUAAACUCAUAGAUUUGUGAGUAUAAACUAUCUUGGGUCAUUCCAGACUAAUUUCUUAUUGCUCAGAUGUGCUCUGUAUUCCUGUAUCUCUAAACAUUUUUAUAUUUGGAAUACAUUUUCUCCACUACUACCAUCACAUUCUACCCAUGAAUCACAAGCUGCAUCUCCAGCAUUAAGAUCUUCUUAACUCUUCAUCCUCUCUCCCUGUUGUUUUCUCUCCUUCUGUUCAUAUUUUUAAAAAUAUUUCUGCAUUUGUUUUUUGAUGUUUUUAAAAUAGGAUGACACUGCUAUAUUUCACUUUAUUUAAUUCUCAGAAAACCCAAAAUAAAUCAUUAUCAAUCCCCUACCUUUAACAAAUAAGACAAAUACUUAUCUUUCCAACUAUUUUGCAAUAAUUAGGUAGCAGAGCAAAGAUUAGAACUAACACUUCUUAACUUCUUCUAAAACGUCUCUGCUUGAGGACCAAAGAACCUGUCUUUUUCGUUUUUUUUGGGGGGCAUGGUUCCUGACAUGAGGAGUCUCACAUUAAGUCAGAGUUCAUUAAAUGCUUGUUGAAUUUAAUUGACUCAGCUCUUUUCUAAUCCACUCCCUACCUCAAAGUCUAAAGAAGAAUUGCCUUUUCCAGGCUGGCACAUUGGGCCUUCCUAUAAAAAGCAGCGGCUAUUGCCGUUUCUCCAGGAAGAUAUGAAUAAUGACUUCAAUUUUAUGGCUAUCAAUAGCAGAAAAUUAGUGACCGAAAGGCUAAUACAGAGUAGAAAUCUGAGGAUGGUUAGCAACUAAAACAGCUGUGUCUCACCAUCUUCUCUGUUAACAUUCUCUAAAAAAAAAAAAAAAAAAAAAAAAAAAGUGUUUUUCUUCUCUCUAGUCACUAGCACCAUAGUGGAACCAGUAAGAGCCUUCUGUAUGUACUGUCAAUCAUUGUCUCUUAUUUACAAAAAAUGCUAUAUGAUUUCUAAGUUAAAAUGCUUCAUAAGCCAUAACAUUCAAUACAAAUAUGUCUGUUCUAUUAUUAUUAUUACUAUUACUACUACUAUUAAUGUAUUAAUAAUAUAAUGAGUAAUUGUUUGGUAAAGCAAAAAUUAAGCAAGUGUGGAACAGCCUUAGAACUAUAGCUUUGAAUAUUUUUUACAAUCACGCAUUCACAUUAGCAGCUGCUGCUAAAUUAACUGUGUGAAACAGCAUUUAUUCAGACAGUUUGCCUAGUUUUAUGAAGUAUCAUUUAGCAAAGAGACUCAAAAAUAAAUUACAUUUUUAUCUUCAAUUCUCCUUAAAGUUGGUAACUUGAUUGUUCUUAUACAUGUCAUAACAUCUACACCUAAAAUUAUGCUGUUUAUUACUAACAACACAAAGAUGACAUUGCUUGGGCUAAAUUGUUGAAAUCCUCAGUUAGCAUUAUUGAAGAUAACUUUAAGGAUCCUUCUGUAAUCAGAUUUCUUGUAACUCUAAUUGGAAUAUGCCUGAUCUAGUGUAGUUGUUAGUAUUUAAACAAAUGAUUAGUUGCAUAAAUUUGAAUUAAAACAAAUAGUGAUUUCUCCAUAAAAAUUAAAAUUGAAAGAAAAUAAUACCAAGGAUAACUUAUGGAGUUAUCUACAGGACAGUAAGAACUGACAUACAAUGAAGAUCUCUUUUUUAUGAGUUGAAAUUUAUUAAUUAUGUUACUGUUUACAUUAGUAAUUACAGUUAAAACCUGAUAUUUUUAUAAAUAAAAUUUUCUGUUGCAAAAUAAAUUAUAAGUGAUUUAUUAAAAUAUACCUAUUCAUAUGUUAGCCCCCCUCUUUUUUGUGCUUAUGAGAGAAGAUACAGUGAAGAAAGGCAGAGAUUCCUCAGGCAUGUGAUCUAUUCAACUGCAUUCACAUGGACGCUACUUCUAAAAUACUCACGAUUUUAAAAAUCGCGAUUGAUUUUAUAAAUUAGAAAAUUCAGUGCUAAAAGGGCAGAAUUUUAUAAGGAAAUGCCAGUCAUCUCUAUUACAAGAUUCCAUAAUUUUGGUAAUAUAGCCUGCCUUUAAGUGACCCUCUUUUAUAUUUUCUGAACUUAAUAUAUAGGUUACUUCUUUGGGUUAAGUCCAACAAAGCCAAGUUAAAAAGCAAAUGUUCUCUAUAAAGAAACAUAAAAGCUAUUAUGAUCAUUUAAAACGUACCUUUGAAUAAUUUAUGUUUGAUCAUAGUGGUUGAGCUUGAAAUGAGAAAGAAUAUGAAACAGCAAGCUUUAAUAUAGUAUAAUAAUUUUGGAGAAUAACUAUGGAGAAGUUAGUGGAUGUACCAAAGACAUAUUAAAGACAUUAGAAUCUUGAUAUUCUUGUUCAAAUUUGAUCAUUUCUAGCUAUAGAAAACAAAUUAUGCAUACUUCUCAAUUUUACUUAAACUAGGUCCUUAAGAAAAACACAUAAGAAUUAGUGCUGUAUGUGGAGUAAAUAUGGAGAUUAACUUAAUCCAAACUAUAGUUGAGCCACUGAAAGUAAGAACUACACAUUAACCUAGGAUUCAAAUACUAGGGAAUGCCUUAUUAACUGUGUUUAUCUUGAGCAAACUGGAAAUAACUCUUUCUACCUUUGUUUCCUAAUCUAUUGAGUGAGUAUAAUAAUUCCUACCUUAAAGGUUAUUAUAAAAAUUCCAGGAGCUUAUGCAGGUAAGACACUUAAACCAAUGUUUAGCUUGUCUUGAACAGUAAGGAUCAACUAUUGCCAUGGAUGUAUGGUUGAAACCUAGGAUUCUUCAAAGCCAGCAAUGUGUUCAUGUUGUCCCUUCACUGAAAUAACAUUCUAAAAAUUGGAAAUAUUCUUACACCUAUGUCUCUUAUGUUAUUUACUCUCACUAACAUCACUUUAUUACACAAUUCAAUUAUCUGUAAAAUACUACAUUUAACCAUAUUAAAUUGCCAAUAUUUGACAAUUGUUCAUCCUCAGAAAAGACAGUUUAAAAUGACUCAAUCUAUUAAUCGCCCUUAAUUUUUCACUUUUCUUUUGACUCCCUGCUUCCCUCCCUGUUCCAUCUAUCUACUGUGCUGCAGCAAAAUUAAUAUUCUAAAAUAUAAUUUUGUAGUCUGACAGCUCUCAGAAAUUCUUAGGAUUCCACUGAUACUUUAUUUUUUUAAAUUCAAAUGUGGAACAAGAUUCCCUGUAAUUUUUCCCCAAAGGUAAAUUUUCAAAUAAUAUCUCAAAGAUCAUUAAACAUGCUCCUUUGGCUCUGGGUGGCACAGUUGCUGCUACCCAUAUAGAUGAGCCUACACUUUUCCUGUAACUGGGGGAUCCUUAGGAGACUUCAUUCAUCUCAGGAAUCCAGUAGUUGUGAUUACAGUGCCCCAACUCCAAUUCAAAACAGGACAUUUUUUUUUUUUUUAAAAAGAGGAUUUUGGUUUACACUAUCUUUUGUUAAGCAACAUUUUUCAGUUACUUCUGUGUUGUCUUUCCUCCUACUGAUUUAACAAAUCACUUGUCAUUGUAAGCUGUGAGAAAAGCUAUUUAGAGGGACAGUUACGCAAAGUGUACCUUUGCCUAAGACUUAGGGAUGAACACUCUCAGAAAUGUUCACCAAUAUUUCUCAAAAUCUUGUCCCAAGGACACACUUGGGACUGUUUAGCCCCUCAUCAACUCUUGACCAUUAUAUCAACUUGAUAGAUAAUAUAGAUAUUAAAUUGAUACCAAUUCUACACAUUUCAUAUCUAAAUAGAAUAUGUAUUCGUCCUAUGACAAAAGGCUGCUGGCAUUUUACUUGAGGGACUGAUACACAGAGUGGGAAAUGAAUAUUAGAAACCUGUGACGGUACCUAAAGGGGUAAUAAGACACAGAAAAACUAUCAAAGGGAGCUAGGUUUCAGCUUCCUGUAUUGAGCUUCUAUUCUCCAACACUGACUCUAUUACUAUGAAUAAUUUUAGGCUUGCUAAUGGCUUCUAUUCUCUGAAUAUGCUAAUGUUCUUCUCAGUUUCAGAUCUUUUAAUCUUCAUAGUCUUCCAUUUAAAAUUUCUUCUUGUAACAUUCAAAUCUUACUCUUUAUUGAGGCUAAUAGUGAUAGUUUCCUUUGAAACCUUCACUCGGCAGUAGAACAUAGUAUAAGAUGAGGGGGUGCAAUUUUUUUCAAUUUUCCCAAUAUAGUCCUGGUUUGAGUCUGUGGCCCCAGAAAUUAUUAAUAGCACCCCUUUUCAUAUUCACAAAUUUUCUGUUUUGGAUGAUAAAUUAAAUAAUGACAACGAAAAAUAAUAUUGAUGUAGCAGUAAUGUUUGUUAUUCAUGAAGUUUGUAUAAAUUUGAAGCUCCCACAAUUUCAUUAUUUUUAAGCAUACAAUGAAAUGACAUGAAUUUUAAAGUAUUAGUAAAUAAGUAAUAUUUCAGGUGCCUCAUAAUUAAUCUCUCUGAAAUAAUUACAUGUUUUUGUUUUAUAAUUCCAAUUCACACAUCUCAUACUGUAUAUUAUAUGUAUAUAUUUUUAACUUAAAAGCUUUUAACUAAUUUAAGACAUAUUAUCUCUUCUGUGCCUUUUUCAGAAUUUAAUCUGCUACAAAUAUAAUGUGAUGUAUGAACAGAAAAAUAUUGUUUAAUAAAAUUGUGAAUGGAAAC
Molecule: long non-coding RNA, 6085 nt
Filed under: Homo sapiens (human)
Lineage: Eukaryota; Metazoa; Chordata; Mammalia; Primates; Hominidae
Description: HSALNT0204497
Source: RNAcentral